This 496-nucleotide ribosomal RNA is filed under the name uncultured bacterium. RNAcentral describes it as "partial 16S ribosomal RNA". It matches the Rfam family "Bacterial small subunit ribosomal RNA", at positions 28 to 506 of the family's 1533-position model. The record is from RNAcentral.
GAUGAACGCUGGCGGCGUGCCUAAUACAUGCAAGUCGAGCGAACGGACGAGAAGCUUGCUUCUCUGAUGUUAGCGGCGGACGGGUGAGUAACACGUGGAUAACCUACCUAUAAGACUGGGAUAACUUCGGGAAACCGUAGCUAAUACCGGAUAAUAUUUUGAACCGCAUGGUUCAAAAGUGAAAGACGGUCUUGCUGUCACUUAUAGAUGGAUCCGCGCUGCAUUAGCUAGUUGGUAAGGUAACGGCUUACCAAGGCAACGAUGCAUAGCCGACCUGAGAGGGUGAUCGGCCACAGUGGAACUGAGAAACGGUCCAGACUCCUACGGGGGGCAGGAGUAGGGAAUCUUCCGAAAGGGGGGAAAGCCUGAGGGGGCAACGCCGCGUGAGUGAUGAAGGUCUUCGGAGCGUAAAACUCUGUUAUUAGGGAAAAACAUAUGUGUAAGUAACUGUGCCCAUUGUGACGGUACCUAAUCAAAAAGCCACGGCCAACUACGU